CCUUCCACACUGCCAAGAAAAGCCUCUAGCGAGAUGUAAGGUGCCCGUACCGCAAACCGACACAGGUAGGCGAGGAGAGAAUCCUAAGGUGAGCGAGUGAACUCUCGUUAAGGAACUCGGCAAAAUGACCCCGUAACUUCGGGAGAAGGGGUGCUCUUGCGGGUGAAAGCCUGCGAGAGCCGCAGUGAAUAGGCCCAGGCGACUGUUUAGCAAAAACACAGGUCUCUGCAAAGCCGCAAGGCGACGUAUAGGGGCUGACGCCUGCCCGGUGCUGGAAGGUUAAGAGGAGGGCUUAGCGCAAGCGAAGGUCUGAAUUGAAGCCCCAGUAAACGGCGGCCGUAACAAUAACGGUCCUAAGGUAGCGAAAUUCCUUGUCGGGUAAGUUCCGACCCGCACGAAAGGCGCAACGAUCUGGGCACUGUCUCAACGAGAGACUCGGUGAAAUUAUAGUACCUGUGAAGAUGCAGGUUACCCGCGACAGGACGGAAAGACCCCGUGGAGCUUUACUGCAGCCUGAUAUUGAAUUUUGGCACAGUCUGCACAGGAUAGGCAGGAGCCUUAGAAGCCGGGGCGCCAGCUUCGGUGGAGGCGCUGGUGGGAUACUGCCCUGACUGUGUUGAACUUCUAACCCACACCCGUGAUCCGGGUGGGAGACAGUGUCAGGCGGGCAGUUUGACUGGGGCGGUCGCCUCCUAAAGUGUAACGGAGGCGCCCAAAGGUUCCCUCAGAAUGGUUGGAAAUCAUUCGCAGAGUGUAAAGGCACAAGGGAGCUUGACUGCGAGACCUACAAGUCGAGCAGGGACGAAAGUCGGGCUUAGUGAUCCGGUGGUUCCGCAUGGAAGGGCCAUCGCUCAACGGAUAAAAGCUACCCCGGGGAUAACAGGCUUAUCUCCCCCAAGAGUCCACAUCGACGGGGAGGUUUGGCACCUCGAUGUCGGCUCAUCGCAUCCUGGGGCUGUAGUCGGUCCCAAGGGUUGGGCUGUUCGCCCAUUAAAGCGGUACGCGAGCUGGGUUCAGAACGUCGUGAGACAGUUCGGUCCCUAUCCGUCGCGGGCGCAGGAAAUUUGAGAGGAGCUGUCCUUAGUACGAGAGGACCGGGAUGGACGCACCGCUGGUGUACCAGUUGUCUCGCCAGAGGCAUCGCUGGGUAGCUACGUGCGGACGGGAUAAGUGCUGAAAGCAUCUAAGCAUGAAGCCCCCCUCAAGAUGAGAUUUCCCAUUACGCAAGUAAGUAAGAUCCCUUGAAGAAGACGAGGUAGAUAGGUUCGUGUGGAAGUGUGGCGACACAUGGAGCUGACGAAUACUAAUCGAUCGAGGACUUAACCAA
RNAcentral lists this ribosomal RNA (1327 nucleotides) under metagenome. Its description in RNAcentral is "bacterial LSU rRNA". It matches the Rfam family "Bacterial large subunit ribosomal RNA", at positions 1596 to 2925 of the family's 2925-position model. The record is from RNAcentral.